AACGCGAAGAACCUUACCAAGGCUUGACAUCAUACGGAAUACGGUGGAAACAUCGUAGUCUUCGGACCGUAUGACAGGUGGUGCAUGGUUGUCGUCAGCUCGUGUCGUGAGAUGUUGGGUUAAGUCCCGCAACGAGCGCAACCCCUGUUUUUAGUUGCCAGCGAGUAAGGUCGGGCACUCUAGAGAGACUGCCGGUGACAAAUCGGAGGAAGGUGGGGACGACGUCAAAUCAUCAUGCCCCUUAUGUCUUGGGCUACACACGUACUACAAUGGCUAUUACAGAAGGCAGCGAAGGAGUAAUCCGGAGCGAAUCCCCAAAGAUAGUCCCAGUUCGGAUUGUGGGCUGCAACUCGCCCACAUGAAGUCGGAAUUGCUAGUAAUUGCAGGUCAGCAUACUGCAGUGAAUACGUUCCCGGGUCUUGUACACACCG
RNAcentral lists this ribosomal RNA (431 nucleotides) under uncultured bacterium. Its description in RNAcentral is "bacterial SSU rRNA". It matches the Rfam family "Bacterial small subunit ribosomal RNA", at positions 958 to 1392 of the family's 1533-position model. The record is from RNAcentral.